Molecule: long non-coding RNA, 3120 nt
Filed under: Homo sapiens (human)
Lineage: Eukaryota; Metazoa; Chordata; Mammalia; Primates; Hominidae
Description: HSALNT0349920
Source: RNAcentral
GGCUCACCCUUGCUGAUGCUGAGUAAUCUGCAGGCUGCAAUCUGCCCGUGAAAGAACUCUUGCAACACAUUGUGUGAGGAUCCCAGGCUGCCCUGUCCUUCCCUGGGAAUCAGGUCAAGAGCCCUGCUGGCAGGUGUCCUAGAGCAUGAAUCAGGCCCCUGGCAAGGAGAAGGCGGGAGAUCUUGGCUGAGAUCAGAUGUGGAACCAAUUCAGGAUUGUCCUUGUGAUUCUUUUUCCUAAGUGGAAUACUGAGCCUCCAGCUUGUGUGUCAUAUGUGUGGACUUUUCAGCAUAUUCUUCUCUGGCCCAGAAGUCUGGAUUCUUCUUGUCUGUUGCAAUAAUAUAAAGUUAUUCAGAGCUGUACAUGAAGAGAAGUCCCACAGGGACCCUGGGAUCAGAAGAACUCUGGGAAAUGCCUGGCCCAGCCAGUGCUGUUCUAAAGAUCCUCAUCCUCAUGGAGAUAACCAUUUUUAAGGAAGAAAAGAGGAUCUGGACCCUACCCAUCUCAGUCUCCAUCAGAUCUUAUGGAUGCUCCAGGAAUUGGCCAUGAUUCUCCUCUUUUCUACCAUCUUGUAUGUUGGGCUUUGUAGAGGAUAGAUGUUUUCUAGAAGAAUGGCAGAUAAGGCAAGGUCUGCAGCUUGCCAUUGAUAGUGUCUUUAUCAACAGAUCUGUGAGGAAUUGUGCAGCUGAGAGGGGAGAAGAGAAAUCAGAGAGUGGAUGGACUGCCACAGUUCAACAUAUACUGGUGCUUUCAAUAUAGAAUCCACAAGGCAACCUGCAUGCUGGGCUCUGUGCUAGGCACUAGGGGUAUAUCUAUGAGAUGCCACCCCAGCUCCCACAGUCUUACAAUCUAAUGGGGAAGAGAGAUAUGUCAAUAGACAAACGCAGCAGAUGGCAAGUGCUGGGAUAUGAAACAGUAAGCAGAAGCCACAGUGUUCUCUGGGACUUCUGAGCUGAGUCCCAAAGUAAUUAGAUUAAUCCGUCAUGGGAGGUGGAGUGGGUAGGGGGAGCUCCUGGAAGCAUGAUCAAAAGUGGAGAGCUAAGGUGAGGGAGAAGAAAGAAAUGAGAUUCAGCAAAGAGGAGGAGAGCAAUGAAGGGCCAUGUAUGACCAGGCGAAGGCAAAUUGUUCGGACCAAACAUGACAGUAGGGUGGGUUUUUGAGGGGUAUCCACUGCACUUACAGAGGCAAGAUUCUCUAUGGUGACCUUUCAGUGAGGGUGGGCAAAUACACUACUUUUUGAGUCAGCCAUUUUUCACUACUGAGCACCUCUGGCCUUAGCAAGUUCUGAGCAUGAAUACUUUCUUCUGUUUCUAAGCCAUUCAACAAAUAUCAAAGUGCUUUCCCAUGUAUUGGUCAUCUUAGGCAAACUGGGUGGACAUGUAGAGCAAGACGUAAUGAGGUAAGCACUCACUAGAGCUAGGUCAUCUUAGAAAAGUCACUUAGCUUCACUGAGCCUCAGUCUUCCUAUCUGUGAAAUGGGGAUAAUGACCCUUAUGUCACCUGGUGGGCAAGGUCUAAAUAAAAUCAUUGUAGUUAGAUCCAUAGUAGGUUCUUUCUGACCUACCACUGUGCACCUCACGCCGUUGCUAUUCCAGUGGGAUAUAUCCAGUGGGGUUACGGGUAUGACAUUUCGGAACCCCACCAUCACUUGUAUCAGCAGGUCUGUCCUAGGUUCCCCAACUAAGCUUCCUGGAUGAGGCACCUAGUGGCGUCCCCUAGUUUGAGUGUGGGGGGUUUGGUAAACUAGUCCUUAUGUAUGCUUGUCAGAUGGAGGGUACUGUCUUUAAGAUGGGCUCAUAGCUGAAUCUGGAAGGUAAGUGCUCCAGGCCAGUAUUGUUUUCUGCAGGAUUCAAAGUUCCCUUGCUAUUUCUGCUGACUUUGCUUCCCCUCUCGUGUUCUAUAUCCCAAACCUAUUAUCUUCACCAGCGUUAAUUUGCCUCCACAACUCUGUUUUUGCAUUUUGAAAUGGAAUUUCCCUUAACCUAUAUUCCUCUGGUUCCCAAACUCCACCUGCUUCAGUUUUUUUUUCAAUAUCAUCUACAUUUCCUUCACUAGAUUAUAGCCUUAGUCAUUUGUACCCUUAGAAUGAAUAUUUUUUUCUGUCAUAUCUUUGUUUGAACCUUUUCACAUUUGACUUCAGACAUUACCCAUCUCCUUCAUCUGACCACUUUCUUCACUUUUCUCAUCUUUCCAUUUUGGUUGUAUGUCUACUGAGCAAGGGGCUCUGUGCAGAGCAUUCAAAGAUGACUGAGAUGUAGUCUUGUGGGUAGAGAGAGACAAUUAGAAUGCACCGUGGAGAGUGUUAGGUUGAGGGAAGCGGAGAUUACAGGAGUCCAAAUGUCUUAUCCGAGGAUAUGGGAUAGGCUUGAGAGAAGAUGCUGAGCUCAUGUAGGUGAGGUAUUGUCCUACGUGAAGGAAAAGAGGCAGGAGAUGGCAGCUUGGAGGCUAUAUUACUUUCUCUGGGGCUGCCAUACCAAAGUACCACAAACUGGGUGGCUUAAAACAUCAAAAAUGUAUUUUCUCACAGUUCUAGAAGGUAGAAGCCCAAAAUCAAGAUGUUGGCCCUACAGCUGUGCUCCUUCUGAAGGCUUUGGGGUGAAUGUGUUUAAUGCCCUUUUCUUAGCUUCUGCCCUUUUCUUUUCUGGCCUUCACAGAAGGCCAAAGAGCAAUCCUUGGCCUUCCUUGGCUUGUGGAUGCAUCGUUUCAGUCUCUGCCUCUGUUUUCACAUGGCCCUCUUCCCUGUGUAUCUGUCUCUACGCUGCUUCUCAUCUUAUAAGGACACAAGUCAGAUUGGAAUAAAGCCUAUUCUAAUUCAGUAUAAUCACAUCUUAACUUGAUUAUGUAUGCAAAGACCAUAUUUCCAAAUAAGGUCACAUUUUCAGGUCCUCGGGGUUAGAGCUUUCACAUGUCUUUUUGGGGGACAUAGUUCAACUCAUAAUAGAAACCUCGCAGAUAAAUCAUUUUGGCCGGUGCACAGAGUUAAGUGGUGGAUUAUCAAGAAUAUGGAAUUUUAGAAUUUUAGCUUCUUGGUUGAUUUUUGGGAAUUAACAUACAGGAGAGCAGGUUUAGAAGUAACAAUAACACUUUGAGAGGCCGAGGUGGGCAGAUCAUGAGGUCAGG